GGGUUGUGAGGUUAAGCGACUAAGCGUACACGGUGGAUGCCCUGGCAGUCAGAGGCGAUGAAGGACGUGCUAAUCUGCGAAAAGCGUCGGUAAGGUGAUAUGAACCGUUAUAACCGGCGAUGUCCGAAUGGGGAAACCCAGUGCAAUUCGUUGCACUAUCGUUAACUGAAUACAUAGGUUAACGAGGCGAACCGGGGGAACUGAAACAUCUAAGUACCCCGAGGAAAAGAAAUCAACCGAGAUUCCCCCAGUAGCGGCGAGCGAACGGGGAGCAGCCCAGAGUCUGAAUCAGCUUGUGUGUUAGUGGAACGGUCUGGAAAGUCCGACGGUACAGGGUGAUAGUCCCGUACACCAAAAUGCACAGGUUGUGAACUCGAAGAGUAGGGCGGGACACGUGGUAUCCUGUCUGAAUAUGGGGACCAUCCUCCAAGGCUAAAUACUCCUGACUGACCGAUAGUGAACCAGUACCGUGAGGGAAAGGCGAAAAGAACCCCGGCGAGGGGAGUGAAAAAGAACCUGAAACCGUGUACGUACAAGCAGUGGGAGCACCUUCGGGUGUGACUGCGUACCUUUUGUAUAAUGGGUCAGCGACUUAUAUUCUGUAGCAAGGUUAACCGUAUAGGGGAGCCGCAGGGAAACCGAGUCUUAACUGGGCGUUAAGUUGCAGGGUAUAGACCCGAAACCCGGUGAUCUAGCCAUGGGCAGGUUGAAGGUUGGGUAACACUAACUGGAGGACCGAACCGACUAAUGUUGAAAAAUUAGCGGAUGACUUGUGGCUGGGGGUGAAAGGCCAAUCAAACCGGGAGAUAGCUGGUUCUCCCCGAAAGCUAUUUAGGUAGCGCCUCGUGAAUUCAUCUUCGGGGGUAGAGCACUGUUUCGGCUAGGGGUCAUCCGACUUACCAACCCGAUGCAAACUACGAAUACCGAAGAAUGUUAUCACGGGAGACACACGGCGGGUGCUAACGUCCGUCGUGAAGAGGGAAACAACCCAGACCGCCAGCUAAGGUCCCAAAGUCAUGGUUAAGUGGGAAACGAUGUGGGAAGGCACAGACAGCCAGGAUGUUGGCUUAGAAGCAGCCAUCAUUUAAAGAAAGCGUAAUAGCUCACUGGUCGAGUCGGCCUGCGCGGAAGAUGUAACGGGCUAAACCAUGCACCGAAGCUGCGGCAGCGACACUAUGUGUUGUUGGGUAGGGGAGCGUUCUGUAAGCCUGCGAAGGUGACCUGUGAGGGUUGCUGGAGGUAUCAGAAGUGCGAAUGCUGACAUAAGUAACGAUAAAGCGGGUGAAAAGCCCGCUCGCCGGAAGACCAAGGGUUCCUGUCCAACGUUAAUCGGGGCAGGGUGAGUCGACCCCUAAGGCGAGGCCGAAAGGCGUAGUCGAUGGGAAACAGGUUAAUAUUCCUGUACUUGGUGUUACUGCGAAGGGGACGGAGAAGGCUAUGUUAGCCGGGCGACGGUUGUCCCGGUUUAAGCAUGUAGGCUGGUUAUCGGGCAAAUCCGGAUAAUCAAGGCUGAGGUGUGAUGACGAGGCACUACGGUGCUGAAGUAACAAAUGCCCUGCUUCCAGGAAAAGCCUCUAAGCAUCAGGUAACAUCAAAUCGUACCCCAAACCGACACAGGUGGUCAGGUAGAGAAUACCAAGGCGCUUGAGAGAACUCGGGUGAAGGAACUAGGCAAAAUGGUGCCGUAACUUCGGGAGAAGGCACGCUGGUGUGUAGGUGAAGUCCCUGCGGAUGGAGCUGAGACCAGUCGAAGAUACCAGCUGGCUGCAACUGUUUAUUAAAAACACAGCACUGUGCAAACACGAAAGUGGACGUAUACGGUGUGACGCCUGCCCGGUGCCGGAAGGUUAAUUGAUGGGGUUAUCCGUAAGGAGAAGCUCUUGAUCGAAGCCCCGGUAAACGGCGGCCGUAACUAUAACGGUCCUAAGGUAGCGAAAUUCCUUGUCGGGUAAGUUCCGACCUGCACGAAUGGCGUAAUGAUGGCCAGGCUGUCUCCACCCGAGACUCAGUGAAAUUGAACUCGCUGUGAAGAUGCAGUGUACCCGCGGCAAGACGGAAAGACCCCGUGAACCUUUACUAUAGCUUGACACUGAACAUUGAGCCUUGAUGUGUAGGAUAGGUGGGAGGCUUUGAAGCGUGGACGCCAGUCUGCGUGGAGCCAACCUUGAAAUACCACCCUUUAAUGUUUGAUGUUCUAACGUUGGCCCCUUACCGGGGUUGCGGACAGUGUCUGGUGGGUAGUUUGACUGGGGCGGUCUCCUCCCAAAGCGUAACGGAGGAGCACGAAGGUUAGCUAAUCUGGUCGGACAUCAGGAGGUUAGUGCAAUGGCAUAAGCUAGCUUGACUGCGAGCGUGACGGCGCGAGCAGGUGCGAAAGCAGGUCAUAGUGAUCCGGUGGUUCUGAAUGGAAGGGCCAUCGCUCAACGGAUAAAAGGUACUCCGGGGAUAACAGGCUGAUACCGCCCAAGAGUUCAUAUCGACGGCGGUGUUUGGCACCUCGAUGUCGGCUCAUCACAUCCUGGGGCUGAAGUAGGUCCCAAGGGUAUGGCUGUUCGCCAUUUAAAGUGGUACGCGAGCUGGGUUUAGAACGUCGUGAGACAGUUCGGUCCCUAUCUGCCGUGGGCGCUGGAGAAUUGAGGGGCUGCUCCUAGUACGAGAGGACCGGAGUGGACGCAUCACUGGUGUUCAGGUUGUCAUGCCAAUGGCACUGCCCGGUAGCUAAAUGCGGAAGAGAUAAGUGCUGAAAGCAUCUAAGCACGAAACUUGCCCCGAGAUGAGUUCUCCUGAGACUUUAAGUCUCCUGAAGGAACGUUGAAGACGACGACGUUGAUAGGCCGGGUGUGUAAGCGCAGCGAUGCGUUGAGCUAACCGGUACUAAUGAACCGUGAGGCUUAACCUUACAACGCCGAAG
This 2911-nucleotide ribosomal RNA is filed under the name Klebsiella pneumoniae. Its description in RNAcentral is "23S ribosomal RNA". It matches the Rfam family "Bacterial large subunit ribosomal RNA". The record is from RNAcentral. Lineage: Bacteria; Pseudomonadati; Pseudomonadota; Gammaproteobacteria; Enterobacterales; Enterobacteriaceae.